AGUGAACGCUGGCGGCGUGCUUAAUACAUGCAAGUCGAACGAUGAAGUCCUAGCUUUCUAGGAUGGAUUAGUGGCGCACGGGUGAGUAAUAUAUAGUUAAUCUGCCUUGCACUGAGGAACAACAGUUGGAAACGAUUGCUAAUACCUCAUACUCCAACUUUACAUAUGUUAAGGUGGGAAAGUCUUUUCGGUGCAAGAUGAGACUAUAUCGUAUCAGCUAGUUGGUAAGGUAAUUGCUUACCAAGGCUAUGACGCGUAACUGGUCUGAGAGGAUGAUCAGACACAUUGGAACUGAGACACGGUCCAACCUCCUACGGGAGGCAGCAGUAAGGUAUAUUGAGCAAUGGGGGCAACACUGACGCAGCAACGCCGCGUGGAGAAUGACAUUUUUCGGAGCGUAAAUUCCUUUUGUGAGGGAAGAAUAAUGACGGUACCUAACGAAUAAGCACCGGCUAACUCCGUG
RNAcentral lists this ribosomal RNA (463 nucleotides) under uncultured bacterium. Its description in RNAcentral is "partial 16S ribosomal RNA". It matches the Rfam family "Bacterial small subunit ribosomal RNA", at positions 29 to 507 of the family's 1533-position model. The record is from RNAcentral.